This 464-nucleotide ribosomal RNA is filed under the name uncultured bacterium. RNAcentral's name for it is "partial 16S ribosomal RNA". It matches the Rfam family "Bacterial small subunit ribosomal RNA", at positions 28 to 507 of the family's 1533-position model. The record is from RNAcentral.
GACGAACGCUGGCGGCGUGCCUAACACAUGCCAGUCGAGCGAAUGAAGUUCCUUCGGGAAUGGAUUUAGCGGCGGACGGGUGAGUAACACGUGGGCAACCUGCCUCAUAGAGGGGAAUAGCCUUCCGAAAGGGAGAUUAAUACCGCAUAAGAUUGUAGUAUCGCAUGAUACAGCAAUUAAAGGAGCAAUCCGCUAUGAGAUGGGCCCGCGGCGCAUUAGCUAGUUGGUGAGGUAACGGCUCACCAAGGCGACGAUGCGUAGCCGACCUGAGAGGGUGAUCGGCCACAUUGGGACUGAGACACGGCCCAGACUCCUACGGGAGGCAGCAGUGGGGAAUAUUGCACAAUGGGGGAAACCCUGAUGCAGCAACGCCGCGUGAGUGAUGACGGCCUUCGGGUUGUAAAGCUCUGUCUUCAGGGACGAUAAUGACGGUACCUGAGGAGGAAGCCACGGCUAACUACGUG